This 794-nucleotide non-coding RNA is filed under the name Lethocerus indicus. Lineage: Eukaryota; Metazoa; Arthropoda; Insecta; Hemiptera; Belostomatidae. The record is from RNAcentral.
AUUAAAGUUUGAUUCUUGCUUUUAAGUUUGCUUUUGUUUAUUUUGCACAUGUAAGUUUUUGCGUUUAUUUCGAAAUUUAUUUCUUGAUGAAUUUAUGUUUUUUUAUUCGCAGUGUAUAAUAUUGAACAAUACAGUUUUCUGUGAUUUGGAUAAAUAUUUUAAUUCUGGCUAAGUUUGUGCCAGCAGCCGCGGUUAUACGAUAAGAGUGAGUGAACUUUCUCGGUUGAUUUUAUUAUAAAUUUUGUUGUUUAGGGUUUAUUUUUUUAAUAUUUAGGGUGAAAUUUUAAUUUUAUUUUAUUGCCUUGGUUUUUUUUAAUAUAUGAAAGUUUUUUUUAGACUAGGAUUAGAUACCCUAUUAUUUUUACUGUAAAUUUUUACCUUAGUAUUAAUAGUUAUGAUCUUUAAAUUAAAAGAAUUUGGCGGUAGUUUAAUCUUACCAGAGGAACCUGUCCUGUAAUUGAUAAUCCACGUUGAAUUUUACUUUAAUUAUUGCUUGUAUACCUCUGUCAUUGAAUGUUUCAUAAGAGUUUUAAUUUUCUUUAGUCCUUUUUGGGUUUAAUGUUAGGUCAAGGUGCAGUUAUAUUGAAGGUAGAGAUGGGUUACAUUUUUUUUAUAUUUGGAUUUUUGGAUGUAAUUUCUUGAAUGAGAUUGGAUUUGGAAGUAAUUUUUAUUAUUUAAUAAUUUUGAUUUUAGUUCUAAACUAUGCACACAUCGCCCGUCGCUCUCGUUCAUAAGAUGAGAUAAGUCGUAACAAAGUAGACCUACCGGAAGGUGGGCCUGGUAAUUUUAUUUAU